RNAcentral lists this unclassified non-coding RNA (287 nucleotides) under Meruliaceae sp. Its description in RNAcentral is "partial contains 5.8S ribosomal RNA, internal transcribed spacer 2, and large subunit ribosomal RNA". Lineage: Eukaryota; Fungi; Basidiomycota; Agaricomycetes; Polyporales; Meruliaceae. The record is from RNAcentral.
CGCACCUUGCGCUCCUUGGUAUUCCGAGGAGCAUGCCUGUUUGAGUGUCAUGGAAUUCUCAACUCCCUAUUUUUAUUAAUGGGCGAGCUUGGACUUGGAGGUCGUGUCGGCUCAUGUAGUCGACUCCUCUUAAAUGUAUUAGCGUGAAUCUUACGGAUCGCCUUCAGUGUGAUAAUUAUCUGCGCUGUGGUGUUGAAGUAUUUUAUAGUUCGUGCUUACAAUCGUCUCGCAAGAGACAACUUUGACAAUCUGACCUCAAAUCAGGUAGGACUACCCGCUGAACUUAA